AUGUCUCUUAAAAUAUUUGCAUUUGACUGUGAAGUGAUUUAGAGAAAUUCCCUGAUAUUUAAUAUUCUAUUUCUUUUUUAUUCUCAAGUUCAGAAAGAAGUUUCCUAUUAUACCAAAUGCAUAGCCAUGCAGGAAAGGAGAGACUUGUCGCUAGAAAGCGACAGUACACCAUUGAAUCUUUGGGACGAGAAUCCUCAUAAGAAUGGGACCAAUGAAUGGCACUGACAUGAAGCUGAAAGAAGUUUUCUCAUUUGAAAAAUGGAAAAAAGCUCCUCCUUUAUCAGAUAUUUUAAGCAAUUUUGAAGCCCCUUUGGAACACAUCAGAUUAUACCUACAAAAGGAAAUAAGUUAUCAAAAUACAAAAAUAGUAGUCCAGUGCUUAGCAUGGUGCCUGGCACAUACAAAAGUGAUCAUGCUCAACUGGCAAGAUAAAGGUAAAAAUAUAUGGGUGAAAAAUAAUUUUCUCAACUUCUAUGCAUCCUAAAAAUACAUUUAAUUAUAUAAAUCCAUAAGAUGUAUAACUACAAGGAUAAAUUGGCACAUUUUUCAUUAUAUUCAAAAAUACUAACACAACUGUCAUAGUUAAAAAGUCAAAAGACCAAUAAAAGACUAAAAAAUCAUAUACAAAUUAAUAAGUAUAAUUGAUAAGCUUGAUUUACUACACAUAGGUAUAAACACAUGUAACAAUUAAACAACAUACUUUUCCUCAGUGUAUACAAAACUUUUCCCAGAGUUACAUGAACUAAAGUAUAGAAGAAUUUGUAUUAUAGAAAUGAUUGAUUAUGUUCACAAUACAAUUACAUUUUAUAUCAAUAACAACAACAAAGAUAAAGUUUCAAUAUAUUCAGAACUAUAAAAAUACAGUAAUAUAUGGGUCAAAUAGGAAAUCGUAGGACUUCUUUAUCAUUUUAAAUCAAAAUAUUUUAAUUAAAAUAUUUUAGAAAUACCAAAAAUAACGACUACCAGCAUAUUACAACUUUGUAAUGCAGAUAAAUUAGAAAUUGAAAACUAUAUAGAGAUGAAAAUGGCAGAAAAGGAUAAAGGGUAAAAUUACAUUGAGCUAAUCAGCUGAAGAUACAUCCAAAAAUGUAAAAUAAUUGAUAUGGUGAUAAUAAGAGCAGAAUUUAAUGAAGUAGAAAGCAAAGAACAAGAAGAAAUUAUUAAUCAGGGCAAAAAUAAGGUGAUUUGUAAAAGUAUAGUAAAAAUUUUAAACUUCUAACAAUAAUAAUUAUACUUCCCCAUCACAUUUAUAUUAGCCUUAGGCAUGCAAUUUGCUUUAGUUGAUGAAAUAAGUAAAGUAACAGGUAGAAACUUCAAAAGUCAUGAUUAUUAUUUUUUCUUUCAUAAAACCAAUAAUCUUCAAGAGAAGCUUUUCUUUACUUUGCCAUUUGUCAACAAAGAAAAAUAUUUUUUUCAUUCUUUUUGUUUCUCUUCAACUUUUAUUUAAGUUCAGGG
Molecule: long non-coding RNA, 1455 nt
Organism: Cercocebus atys (sooty mangabey)
Lineage: Eukaryota; Metazoa; Chordata; Mammalia; Primates; Cercopithecidae
Exons: 3
Source: RefSeq, a predicted model, not a curated record